Molecule: ribosomal RNA, 490 nt
Filed under: uncultured Erwinia sp.
Lineage: Bacteria; Pseudomonadati; Pseudomonadota; Gammaproteobacteria; Enterobacterales; Erwiniaceae
Description: bacterial SSU rRNA
Rfam family: Bacterial small subunit ribosomal RNA
Source: RNAcentral
ACGGUAGCACAGAGAGCUUGCUCUUGGGUGACGAGUGGCGGACGGGUGAGUAAUGUCUGGGGAUCUGCCCGAUAGAGGGGGAUAACCACUGGAAACGGUGGCUAAUACCGCAUAACGUCGCAAGACCAAAGAGGGGGACCUUCGGGCCUCUCACUAUCGGAUGAACCCAGAUGGGAUUAGCUAGUAGGCGGGGUAAUGGCCCACCUAGGCGACGAUCCCUAGCUGGUCUGAGAGGAUGACCAGCCACACUGGAACUGAGACACGGUCCAGACUCCUACGGGAGGCAGCAGUGGGGAAUAUUGCACAAUGGGCGCAAGCCUGAUGCAGCCAUGCCGCGUGUAUGAAGAAGGCCUUCGGGUUGUAAAGUACUUUCAGCGGGGAGGAAGGCGAUGCGGUUAAUAACCGCGUCGAUUGACGUUACCCGCAGAAGAAGCACCGGCUAACUCCGUGCCAGCAGCCGCGGUAAUACGGAGGGUGCAAGCGUUAAUCG